UUUUGUUCUAUUUCCGCUUUUUUGUAUUUUAAAAAGUUUUAAUUUAUAAAUCAGAAACAAGAAGAAAAAUAUAACUGUCCGCACAAAUAUAUUUAUGUACCGCCUAAAAUUUUUGACAAAAAAUAAUUAUAUAAUUUAAUCGCUCGCCCGCUCGUACUUUUUUUCGGCUUUUUUUCACUUAUUGUCCGACGAACAAGAAAUUACAGUGGCCUAGAAAGGAAAUAUCUAUGUCCUGGUAAAAUUGAUUAAACGAAUUUAUCUAAACAAGCGUGCUUUGCUCUCCUACUAAAGUGUCUGUAACGGAUAUCUGAUAGGGACCGGUUAAACGAAAAUAAUUCGUUUUUGUCCAGCUUAUGUAACAUGUCAACAGUCUUGUUUGUAUGGAAGAUAAUCGUGUUCAAAAAUCCAGACAUAUUAUCAAUAGCUCAAAGAGCUUUACUGAAUAAAUAGAUUUAAAUGACAAAUGAAUGAACAAAAUCCGCCUGAGGGUAUGCAUGGUGUUUCACGGCUCGGUGACUUUUCAGCUUAUUUCAUUGUCAACAAACUCCUCUCUGAAAGUGCGAGCCUCGCGUGUUGAUUAGAUGGCAGAAAUAGUUGGAUUGUCAUAAUAACAACAACAGCGUUGAUGCUUGUGAGUUGAUGAUCUUAACGAUGCCGCUCCGUUUCACGUACUUUAUAUUGUUAAUUAUGUGGAACUUUGUCUUUGUUUGUUGUUGUAAUUCUUUUAGUGUUUUUUUUCUGUUAACUUCUUGUACUGGUUGGUGUUAGUGGUUUGAUGUUGGUUAUACUAGUAGUUGAUGGUUGACUUUUAUACAUGGUAUUCUCUGUUUUUCAUAAAUUUUUCAUAAAUUAUUUGAUAUUGAUAAAUUCCUCAAAGUUCAAACGAUGUUUAUACAAUAGUAUUGAAACAAAUCUCAAGAGCUCCCCAUUGAAACGCCCCUCUAGAUUGUCAGGUUUCAAUACACCGUGUCAGCUCAAUACAAAAAGACUACAUGGAUUUUGCAUAUACCCCGGAUGAUAAUGAUAAAAAAAUGUGCAAGAUGUCCAGAGUAAUUCUGAAUGAAUUUCAAAGUUCCUAUUAUAAAUCUCCGUAAGAAUUUUGUUUUCAUACCUGUGAGUUUCACCGGGUAAAAUCAGAUGACCUUUCAAUGAAGAAUUCUUGUAUAUUUCCUUUUCAUAAAUUUCAAUUAAACUUGAUUGACAGGUGUGUUGAUUUUCGUAGAAAUUGUCAAAAACGUGACGGAAACAAUAACUUGGGCAAAAUUAUAGUACGGAAGUGUUCGGAUGAUAUAUAGUAGUAGGUCAGAGUUCUUGAAAUCUUUUUUCCACUGUCAGUCAUUUGGAGUGACAACCAUCAGAAGUUUGUCAGUCCAGACUGAUUCUAUCAGUCCAAACAUUUUCAAUAGAAAGAUGAAAAACUACAAGUAUAUUUGCCUUAUAGUUUCUCUCAUUUUUACCUUAAUUAUUCUGAUUUCUCCUAACUUUCACAUUCUGGCUCCUGAUAACAUUCUUAUUUAUCACUUCAUUAAUUAUUAUUUCCUUCCCUCUCUCAUUAUCAACUUUCUUCUUGUUCUCUUUCUCGUUCUCUUUCUGCACAUCUCAUAUGUUACUAUGGCUCGGUUGUCAGAUAGCGGAGUUCUUAUUUCCCGAAAAAAUUUAUAAAUGAUUACAUUGGGAUUUUUGUGUGUAUUUCUGUGUAUUGCAAUAAAAACAUUCACUGAAAACCCUGUUUCGGUGUAUGCAAUGUACAUUGAAAAAACGUAACGAGACAACACUCGCCAUCUUGGAUUUAUAGGGGGCCCUCAGUUCACGCUAUGUUUAAAACAAGUUCUCCACUUUCUCCCAUAAUUUCUGACGACAUCUAGGUUGGAAAAUGAUUGAAAGACUUAUUCCUCUUGUCUGAAUACAUCUGUUAGCUGCAUUAUAAACACACCGUAUCAAUAUGUACGAAAUACUCGCCAAACUUAUCGAAAGCAACGGAAGUAAUAAUUACUGAGGUGUUCCUAAAAUGUAUAAUAAGUCUAGAGAGAGCGAAAAAAACCGCGAAAAACUCCUCUAGAUUUAUCGUAUGCGUUCGGAUCUCCUCAGUGAGUAUGAAAAUUAGUUAUAUUUUCGCAAGUUACUCUGUCCAUAUCUACCGGUCAUUUGGACUGACAGGCAACCUCAAGUAAUGGGUCCUUGGUUAUUUUUAUCGGUCUUGCCGACAGGACCGAAAGAUUUCAAGAACUCUGUAUUAGGUGAUGAUGUCGUUGGUUAUGUUGUUAUUUUGGUUGUGAUAAACUUGUUUUAGAUGUUAAUGGUAGUGAUCUGAUGUUGGUAAUGCUGCUGCUGUUGUUGUUAUAGUAGAUGUGUUAUAGAUGUUGAUAUGGUGCUCUAAUGUUGGUUAUGCUGUUAUUUUGAUGGUAGACUUGCUAUAGAUGUUAAUGUGUUGCUCUAAUGUUGGUUAUGUUGUUAUUUUGGUGGUGGACUUGUUAUAGAUGAUGAUGUGGUGCUCUAAUGUUGGUUAUGCUGUUAUUUUGGUGGUGGACUUGUUAUAGAUGUUGAUAUUGUGUUCUAAUUAUGGUUAUGCUGUUAUUUUGGUUGUAGACUUUUUAUAGAUGUUGGUAGUAGUGUUCAAAUGUUGGUUAUGUUGUUUUGUGUGUAGACUUGUUAUAGAUGUUUGUACAUGUAGUAGUGUUCUGAUGUUGGUAAUAUUGAUGUUGUUGUUGUUGGUAAUGCUGUUGUUUUUUAUGAUAGACUUGUUAUAGAUGGCUGUAUUAGUAUUCUGAUGUUGGUAAUGAUGCUGUUGUUGUUAUGUUAGUGGUAAACUUCUUAUAGAUGUCGGUAAUAGUGUUACGAUGCUGAUAAUGUUGUUGUUGGUGGUGAUGGUUAUGUUGUUGUUGUUGUUGGUUUUGUUGUUAUGUUGGUGGUAAACUUGUUUUAGAUGUUGGUAUUAGCGUUCUGAUGUUGGUUAUGUUGUUGUUGUUGUUGGUAAUGCUGUUAUGUUUGUGAUGGCAGUCCUCCUCAUUGAUAUAAUAUUAGAACGUAUGAAUUUUUUUUUGCUAGUGAAAAAACCCAUAAACCAAAAAAUAUUGUAUUAAAUCAUCAAAGUAUUACCCAGCUGUUUAGAUAUACACAUGAUGUUUAGUGCACAGAUGUUAGCAACCUAUAGAUCAUUAAUUUUAUUUGGCCUUUAUCAUAAGCCCAAACUCGUUCGUACAUGGUACUGAAUCGAAAUUUGACAAAUGUGCUAUAUGGUGCAAUGGUUUACCUAAAAGUGAUGUCAUACAUUCUUGCGAUAAAAUCGAUCGUGAAAAUUCGGCGUAAAGCGACCAAAAAAAGGAUUUAAAAUCUGUAUUUUAUGGGUUUUCUUGGAACAUUGGUCCAUUUGAGCCUCGCAUUUUUUGUUGUUGUUAAGACAAACGUGUAGAUGUGCAUAUUUGCAAGAAGUUAAACGUGAUGAUCUUUUUUUUUGGUGGGGGGGGGGGGGGGUCAUUCAGAGGUACAUGGUAACAUAAACAGUAAAAUGUUUUCUUUGCGAUUUUGUAGAAUUUAAAGUUAACGAUCAAAAAAUAAAAUCAACAUCAUCCGCAAUUGCAUGUAAUGUAUUUUUUCUGUUCCAUCAUACCCACUGGCCACAUGAAACUUUGAAGAAAGCAUUCUGUUAUAUAACUUUCCUCAGUUGUUCACAUAGUCAUUUUGAUAUGCGUGGACUUUUGGUCAAGGUGCGUAAUAGCUGCAGGUCUAGAUAAUUCCUGGUCUAAAAAUAAUCGAAUGGACCACUAGGUGGUCCAUUCAAAUUUUUUUUGGUCGUCCAUACGGAUUUUUUUCAGACCGGGAACUACAGAACUGCAGCUAUUUGCGUAAUCAAUCUGUAAUUAUACUAGUAUUGUAAUGUACCGGUAUGUAAUCAGAAAAAUAUAUGGCAGUUACAUGUCUGACAGAAUUAAAAUUAACAAACAUUUAUAUCUAUAAUUCAUGAC
Magallana angulata is the source of this 3962-nucleotide RNA transcript. It is a transcript of the gene named glycoprotein 3-alpha-L-fucosyltransferase A-like, with no coding region annotated. The record is from RefSeq and is a predicted model, not a curated record. The transcript is spliced from 2 exons. NCBI's taxonomy places the organism in Eukaryota, Metazoa, Mollusca, Bivalvia, Ostreida, Ostreidae.